RNAcentral lists this ribosomal RNA (420 nucleotides) under Fusobacteriota bacterium. RNAcentral describes it as "Fusobacteria bacterium partial 16S ribosomal RNA". It matches the Rfam family "Bacterial small subunit ribosomal RNA", at positions 355 to 776 of the family's 1533-position model. The record is from RNAcentral. Lineage: Bacteria; Fusobacteriati; Fusobacteriota.
UGGGGGAUAUUGCACAAUGGGCGAAAGCCUGAUGCAGCGACGCCGCGUGGGGGAUGAAGGCCUUCGGGUUGUAAACUUCUUUUGCUCUGAACAAGGCAUGCCUUUGGGGUGUGUUGAGUGUAGGGGUUGAUUAGCGCCGGCUAACUACGUGCCAGCAGCCGCGGUAAUACGUAGGGCGCGAGCGUUGUACGGAAUUAUUGGGCGUAAAGGGCUUGUAGGUGGCUGGUUGCGUCUGUCGUGAAAGCUCAUGGCUUAACUGUGGGUUUGCGGUGGGUACGGGCUGGCUUGAGUGCAGUAGGGGAGGCUGGAAUUCCUGGUGUAGCGGUGGAAUGCGCAGAUAUCAGGAGGAAUACCGGUGGCGAAGGCGGGUCUCUGGGCUGUUACUGACGCUGAGGAGCGAAAGCGUGGGGAGCGAACAGG